RNAcentral lists this unclassified non-coding RNA (366 nucleotides) under Acacia maidenii. RNAcentral describes it as "partial external transcribed spacer". Lineage: Eukaryota; Viridiplantae; Streptophyta; Magnoliopsida; Fabales; Fabaceae. The record is from RNAcentral.
GAACGGCCGRCAGGCGAUCCGCGUCGGUCGCGCGAGGUGGUAUGGUUCCCCAGAGGCCGGUUCUUGUGCUGCCUACCCCUUCAGGGGAAGCGGGCCACUUGAUGUAAGCCUCCAUCCGGCGCCCUCCAACGGGCGCAGGAGGACAACAGAGCACACCCCGYGUACCACCGAGCCUUCGUCGGUCGCGUGGCGCGCGGGGACGUGCGAUGCUCUCGGACCCAGCGAACGCCGUGGGCGAGGACUCACGUCCCAGUCCCGAUAGAAGCCUCGAUAUAAUGCAUGACGGCCGCUCCCGCCCCCCGACCGCCCCGGCGGCGCGUGGRCGAGGCGCGGCGUCGCGGARGAAUGCUACCUGGUUGAUCCUGC